CAGCCGCCACGGUAAUGCGAAGGGGGCUAGCGUUGCUCGGAAUUACUGGGCGUAAAGGGAGCGUAGGCGGGUCGUUUAGUCAGAGGUGAAAUCCCGGGGCUCAACCUCGGAACUGCCUUUGAUACUGGCGACCUUGAGUAUGGGAGAGGUAAGUGGAACUCCGAGUGUAGAGGUGAAAUUCGUAGAUAUUCGGAAGAACACCAGUGGCGAAGGCGACUUACUGGACCAUUACUGACGCUGAGGCGCGAAAGCUAGGGGAGCAAACAGGAUUAGAUACCCCUGUAGUCCCUGUCUCUUAUAC
RNAcentral lists this ribosomal RNA (301 nucleotides) under uncultured bacterium. RNAcentral's name for it is "partial 16S ribosomal RNA". It matches the Rfam family "Bacterial small subunit ribosomal RNA", at positions 509 to 807 of the family's 1533-position model. The record is from RNAcentral.